UACGUAGGUGGCAAGCGUUGUUCGGAAUUAUUGGGCGUAAAGGGCGCGUAGGCGGCUUGUUAAGUCGGCUGUGAAAGCCCGGGGCUCAACCCCGGAGGGUCAGCCGAUACUGGCAGGCUAGAGUACGGAAGAGGUAGCUGGAAUUCCCGGUGUAGCGGUGAAAUGCGCAGAUAUCGGAAGGAACAUCAGUGGCGAAAGCGACUUCCUGGACCAGUACCGACGUUCAGGCACGAAAGCGUGGGGAGCAAACAGG
Molecule: ribosomal RNA, 253 nt
Filed under: uncultured bacterium
Lineage: Bacteria
Description: partial 16S ribosomal RNA
Rfam family: Bacterial small subunit ribosomal RNA
Source: RNAcentral